UACGAAGGGGGCUAGCGUUGUUCGGAAUUAUUGGGCGUAAAGGGCGCGUAGGCGGCGAUUCAAGUGACGGGUGAAAUCCCUCGGCUUAACCGAGGAACUGCCUGUCAGACUGGAUUGCUUGAGGCCGGGAGAGGCGAGUGGAAUUCCCAGUGUAGCGGUGAAAUGCGUAGAUAUUGGGAGGAACACCAGUGGCGAAGGCGGCUCGCUGGACCGGUUCUGACGCUGAGGCGCGAAAGCGUGGGGAGCAAACAGG
RNAcentral lists this ribosomal RNA (253 nucleotides) under uncultured bacterium. RNAcentral describes it as "partial 16S ribosomal RNA". It matches the Rfam family "Bacterial small subunit ribosomal RNA", at positions 524 to 776 of the family's 1533-position model. The record is from RNAcentral.